Molecule: ribosomal RNA, 208 nt
Filed under: uncultured bacterium
Lineage: Bacteria
Description: partial 16S ribosomal RNA
Rfam family: Bacterial small subunit ribosomal RNA
Source: RNAcentral
UUGCGUAGGUGGUAUGUAAAGCGAAUAGUGAAAGGCUACGGCUCAACCGUAGAUACAUUAUUCGAACUCACAAGCUAGAGCAUAGUAGAGGUACCUGGAAUUCCCAGUGUAGGAGUGAAAUCCGUAGAUAUUGGGAGGAACACCGAUGGCGUAGGCAGGGUACUGGGCUAUUGCUGACACUAAGGCACGAAAGCGUGGGGAGCGAACA